UACAGAGGUCUCAAGCGUUGUUCGGAUUCAUUGGGCGUAAAGGGUGUGUAGGUGGCGCUGUAAGUCGGGUGUGAAAUUUCGGAGCUUAACUCCGAAACUGCAUUCGAUACUGCGGUGCUUGAGGACUGGAGAGGAGACUGGAAUUCAUGGUGUAGCAGUGAAAUGCGUAGAGAUCAUGAGGAAGACCAGUGGCGAAGGCGGCUCUCUGGCCUGUAACUGACGCUGAGGCGCGAAAGCGUGGGGAGCAAACAGG
This 253-nucleotide ribosomal RNA is filed under the name uncultured bacterium. RNAcentral's name for it is "partial 16S ribosomal RNA". It matches the Rfam family "Bacterial small subunit ribosomal RNA", at positions 524 to 776 of the family's 1533-position model. The record is from RNAcentral.